GGGAUAACAUUUGGAAACAGAUGCUAAUACCGCAUAAGAUUACAGUACCGCAUGAUACAGUGAUCAAAGGAGCAAUCCGCUGAAAGAUGGGCUCGCGUCCGAUUAGAUAGUUGGUGAGGUAACGGCUCACCAAGUCGACGAUCGGUAGCCGGACUGAGAGGUUGAACGGCCACAUUGGGACUGAGACACGGCCCAGACUCCUACGGGAGGCAGCAGUGGGGAAUAUUGCACAAUGGGCGAAAGCCUGAUGCAGCAACGCCGCGUGAGGGAAGACGGUUUUCGGAUUGUAAACCUCUGUUUUCGGUGACGAACAAAUGACGGUAACCGAGUAGGAAGCCACGGCUAACUACGUGCCAGCAGCCGCGGUAAUACGUAGGUGGCAAGCGUUAUCCGGAAUUACUGGGUGUAAAGGGAGCGCAGGCGGGAUAGCAAGUCAGCUGUGAAAACUAUGGGCUCAACCCAUAAACUGCAGUUGAAACUGUUAUUCUUGAGUGGAGUAGAGGCAAGCGGAAUUCCGAGUCUAGCGGUGAAAUGCGUAGAUAUUCGGAGGAACACCAGUGGCGAAGGCGGCUUGCUGGGCUCUAACUGACGCUGAGGCUCGAAAGUGUGGGGAGCAAACAGGAUUAGAUACCCUGGUAGUCCACACUGUAA
Molecule: ribosomal RNA, 651 nt
Filed under: uncultured bacterium
Lineage: Bacteria
Description: bacterial SSU rRNA
Rfam family: Bacterial small subunit ribosomal RNA
Source: RNAcentral